This 280-nucleotide ribosomal RNA is filed under the name uncultured Peptostreptococcaceae bacterium. RNAcentral's name for it is "partial 16S ribosomal RNA". It matches the Rfam family "Bacterial small subunit ribosomal RNA", at positions 49 to 339 of the family's 1533-position model. Lineage: Bacteria; Bacillati; Bacillota; Clostridia; Peptostreptococcales; Peptostreptococcaceae. The record is from RNAcentral.
UAACACAUGCAAGUCGAGCGAUUCUCUUCGGAGAAGAGCGGCGGACGGGUGAGUAACGCGUGGGUAACCUGCCCUGUACACACGGAUAACAUACCGAAAGGUAUGCUAAUACGGGAUAACAUAAGAAAUUCGCACGUUUUCUUAUCAAAGCUCCGGCGGUAUGAGAUGGACCCGCGUCUGAUUAGCUAGUUGGUAAGGUAAUGGCUUACCAAGGCGACGAUCAGUAGCCGACCUGAGAGGGUGAUCGGCCACAUUGGAACUGAGACACGGUCCAAACUCC